Molecule: long non-coding RNA, 4969 nt
Filed under: Sus scrofa (pig)
Lineage: Eukaryota; Metazoa; Chordata; Mammalia; Artiodactyla; Suidae
Description: lncRNA (ENSSSCG00015034865.1)
Source: RNAcentral
AUACUCAAAAUUUUUCUUAAGAAUACGUGUAAUUUUACAAGACCAUUCAUCAUAGCACCAAGCCCAAUAUUCCUUUAUAGAAAACAGUCAAAUAACAAAGACUCCAGUUAAUUUCCCGCAGGUAUAAAUUAUGCAAAUAGUCAUUUAUAUCUUCAUUUACAAUAAUCAAUAAAUAAGAGGGCACGUUCAUACAAUUUUUUGUACAAAGAUACCUUUUUACAAAGCUACAGCUACGUAUAUAACUAAAUAGACAAAAUAAUUCUCGUACUACAAAAUAACAUUUCGUUUUUUUCAAUAGUUCUCUAGAGCUCUCGGUAAAAAUUUUCAGACAUUAUCAAUCAAGUCCUGCCAUGACAUUAAAAGAAACUGUAGCAUUAAAUCUGUUAAACAUACUGCCGACCUUGAAAAAAUACACACCGAUCCUCCUCAGGAAAGGAAAACACAGCAUGUUUUAAACAAACUCCUAUUUCCAGAGUUAAUACAUAUAUUUUCUUCAGCUGCACCCGUGGUAUAUGAAGGUGGCCAGGCCAGGGACUGCAUCAGAGCCGCAGCUGUGACCUACGCCCCAGCUGCAACUGGAUCCUUCACCCGCUGUGCCACAGCGGGAGCUCGUCAGGUUUAAGAACUUCUCCCGACCACGUACAGUAAAGAACCACCAUUCUUCCACGUUUACUCUGUCUUUGGCUGAUGCUACCAACACCACUGCAAGUGAUGCAGGCAGCUAACUUAUGGUGCAAUUUCAAGGCAAAGGGAUCUGCUUCCUGGGACACCCUCCCUGCAGUACCACACCCACCCUAGGGACAGUCUACACAAACAUGCCAGUCUUUGGCUUAAGGGAUCCCGUGCUAGAAUGCAAGCGGCCUCUGUUUCCAAGGGGACUUUCUAUGCCUACGCAUCUCGAGUCUUGGAGAGGAAGGGGGAAUAGCGGGAAAGAACGGGAAGUCUGUUGUCCAUGGUUAUCGAGUCCUUCAGCUGAGCUCGUGAAUCUGAAAGAAAGUCCCCUGGGAAACGGCCUCGGACGGUGACUUAAUUCAAGGCGACCAGUUCAGAUCAGAUCAGACCAGUUCAGAAGCAGAUCUCUCACGUCCCACCCCCAAUGUUCAACCCCACGCCUUCAACAGACUACCUUUCAUUGUUCCAACCCCCUCCCCCAGGCACCUUUCCCCGAUACUGAAGCCAGAAGCACAGCUCUAAGCUUUGGAAUUCACUUACAGAUACAGAGGUGCAUUUAUUUAAGCAAAUAGGUCACUUACUGAGGUUAAAAACAAACAGAAAAAACAACAACAACAAAAACCCUGAAAAACUAACUUGCUAGACUUCCGGAUUUUUAAACCCAGGAAGAACUUUUAAAGAGAUCUUCCAACUUCUGACCCAGAGAGGUAAAUGAAUUAUUCAAGGUGUCACAGCAGGUGAGCUGGAGCUGAGAUGAGGCUUCUCGAUGCCCAGGCCAGUACUGUCCUACUUUGGGACAAUGUCAGCUCUUUAGGUGACAAACACUGAGUUUCCUUUUUAAAAGUCUUUCAAUCAGAGUUCCCCUUGUGGCUCAGCAGCAACUGAAUCUGACUGGCAUCCAUGAAGAUGCAGGUUUGAUCCCUGGUCUCGCUCAGUGGGUUAAGGAUCUGGCAUUGCCACUGGCCUCGCUCAGUGGUGUAGGCUGCAGACAGCUCGGAUCCCACAUUGCUGUGGCUGUGGUGUAGGCCGGCGGCUACGGCUCCAAUUAGACCCCUAGCCUGGGAACCUCCAUAUGCCAUGGGUGCCGUCCUUAAAAAAAAAAAAAAAAAGGCUUUCCAUCCUUGCAUGACAUUUAGCAAUACCGGCACAUUGUGGCUGUCCUCAUACCACAGUCUUAGAGAGAAAAUGCCCUUCCUGACUUCUGCUGCCGCUAAAAGAAUCAGUAGCCGGUGCAAAUGGCAGAAACCUAGCAAACGAUAUGUUUUCUCUUCGUUUUUGCAAUAAUGCAAUGAUCACAACUUUCAAAUUCAAAACAAAGGAAAACGGAUGAUUCCUGUCUCACAGACCAAGCAGCUAGGACUUUGUGGAGGUGAUGGAGGCUCUUUACCCGUUUGUCGUCUCUGCCGGGCGCAGUGAGAUCUGCUUUUCCAAGAACAGAGCCUCACUUCUUACUCUGAAAAUCGGGUGCUGCAAGUGGAGAGUCAAGGGCGGGGGAAGUUAAUUAAAGUCCCUUAAGUCUUGGCUGCUGGACACUGAGGUUAUGCUGCUAAAGUGCUGCUAAACUUUAUGCACAGUCAUUUUGGUGGCAAAUUUGCAACCCUAAGCUAAUACCUGAACUUGGGGCAUCCCCAGUCAUUAAAAAAAAAAUCUUUCAUUUACGUUUAAUUGAAGUAUAGUUGAUGUCUAAGAUUACUCUGUCACGUUUGUGACUGAGGAUGAAGGAGAUAUUUAAGCAGUGUUGACAUGGGGGGGUCAAAGUGUGCAGAGACCUGGGAAGAGGGAAAUACAAAGUGGGGGCUGCCAUGGACUAAUAAACUGUGUCAUUUUCCCAAUGCCGAUUUCCACCCUCGCUUGCCAACGAGGCCAAAGUCACCAAGACUCAGCAUCUCACCAGGGCGUGACUCAUUUUCUAAGCAUGAGGUCCAGGGUGGAAACGAACGUUUGCAAGUAAGAGUCCUAUGGCCGCGAUUCUGCCACUUGCCCGCUCGAGGGCUUCCUUCCUGUGUUUUACUUUCCUCUCGGAAAGACCCACCUCCCGUGAUUGUCACGAGCGCCCAGUGAGCUCAUGGGGAGACGCCGGCUUCGGCUUCCUCUUGCGAAAGGCAUGGUUUAGAUUUGAGACGGGGCGGCUGGCGAGAUGGCAGUGCAGUGGGGAGAGGCUGGGAGAGGCUGUGGCGAACUGAACGCAGGGCAAAGGGGGAACGUCAGAGCCUGGAGAGGGCCCCGCACACGAGGAGCCCCUGGGCCCUCUACGACCUCCUAGCAAGCUCGCUGUGAAGCUAUGCUCAUUCGACAAUUACGUCCAGAGAGUCUGCUCUGCGCAGAAGAUGCUCAGAGCAGGAAUGUGGCCCAGAAGACGGAGCCAGGGCUUGCACCCAGCUCUGGCUGAUGCCCAAAGCAGCCCUCUUCCCUUAUCCCAGAAAACCUCCUGGGAAAGAGGGAGGGAUGAUUUAAAAAAAAAAAAAAAAAAGGCGUUGGGCGGCGGGGGGGAACCUCCGUUAAAGAGAUUCCUGCUGGAUGAAAGGCAGCCAGUCGGGGAUUUUAAAGUCCGCGGUGGGAUGAGGCACCUAGAUUGUUGAGUUGUGUGUGUAUUUAAAACCAUGCGGUCCAACAGCACAAAAUACUGUCUUUUUCUCAAAAAAACGAGGCUGUUUUCUCACUUGUCGGUGCUACAGUUCUGGGUGGGGGACAACCUGCCUGGUUAAAUUAAAUAUGCAUAAAUAAGUUAAAAACACUUAAGUGGGCCUUCCCGGUGCUGCGGGGUCUGGCAAUUUCAGAAGAUUCAGAGGGGCCCAGGACUCCUGGGGAAGCAGGGGCUCCGAAUCUGCAGGCCUCUGCCCUUUACUGGGCCAAGCCCACCCCAAGCUGGUUGCACCACGGGGUAGGGGUUGGGGGGGGGACCUUUCAAGGCCUGCAGGUCACCUUGGCACUGUCACACAUCAGAGCAAGGAGGCCUGGGGCUCACCUAGAGCCUGAGGACACAGGGCCUGCAUGCGGUGGGCAUGGAAGAUUCGGGGCCAACGCAGGCCAAUGCACGCUGCACCCACAUCAGGCUCAACCAAGUGCCUGACAAGAAGCAGAGCCCAAAAGAUCUGUGGGACUCAAUGUCCAGCAAAGAAGCCUCAUCUGAUUUCACGGCUCCCUGAGGAGACAAACUCCACAGCAAAUUUCUAGCCGAGAAGCGUGACCUCACUCACGCCAGCUUGCAGCCUUCAGCCGCUCCCCCUGGGUCCUGAGAGCGCCCCACUCAGCAGCUGGAUGGGCCAGAGGAAGAGCCUGUGGUUCCAGGGGGACCCCAGAUGGCAGCUGCAGCCCAAGAAGUUAAACCUUCCCCCAAAGAUGGUUUCCGCGGAGCUGAUGCAACGUCGGGGCAAGAGCCCCAGCACAUCUGGACCAGAAGCACGUCGGGGGCUCUGGUGUCCUGGUAAGCGCGUCACUGGGCAGGUUCUGUGGAGCCAUGCGGGCUUGAAACGCCCACAUUGCCCAUCUCAGGGGCUUCAGGACGCAAAGCUGAACACAGGCGGGGGAUUCGGCCGAGCUGGCUGGGCAGGUCUCCAGGCAGAGAGAGGCCACAGCCCCAAACUGCAGGCGGCCUCCUGGAGGCCCUCGGGGGCUCAGAGACACUGCACUUGCAUGAGUCUGCGCCUCAGGCCUGCGCUCCAGCGACAGGGCCACGGGAGUCCUUCUUAACCAAGAAGCGUCGAUGGCUUCUGCUGCCUGGCGAGGUGCGCUCUCCCUGUUUACGGUGGCUCGUGUCUGAGAUUAGCCCCGUGAUGUCCCAAGUGCGCAGUGAGGAGGGAGGCCCAGCUUGGCGUCAGUGGCUGGAGGCUGGAGGUUUGUAGAAAACCUACUUGGGAAUCAAGACGCCCCUCCCGAGGGCACCGACUGUCCCUUCGAGGGGACUAACUAACAGCGUGACUAGUCAUUUCUCCUCCUAGAUCUUCAGGGUUCUCAUUCCUUAGCCGAGGUGCUAGACCCUUCCGUGACCCUAAGGCUAUCAAACAAUCUAUAAUUUAUUCAGGCAGCCUCCAAAUCUUCGGCCACCGCCUGCGAGUCUGACCCUCACAAAGAGCAGGCUAGCACUGCACAGGCAAGAGAGGAGAGGAAGCAGCAGCCCGUGUCCAGGGGUGGCUGUCCUGGGGGCGGGGGGGCUGCCCCACAAGAGGCUGGGUCUGACCAGGAGGACCUGCUGGCCGGGUUCCGAAUAGCCACCCAACAGAGGGAGCAGCCGGUUUGCUGGCUGCCAGACACCGGUGCGGACUACUUGUUUCCAAGCGAGGUGAGGGUGACGAGGAAA